AAGAACGGCUGCUGGCAGUUUUUAAUUCAAUGUUUAACUUUUUGUCUUAUUUGAAUUUUUACGAUUAACAUUUUUGUUGUUAUUAGAUAAUAAAACAUGAAUAAUAUUUUAUACGUGACUAAUUUUUUAAUUUUUUAUAAAUUUUUAAACUAAGAUGGAUGGUUAACCGCUGAAGACAGAAAUCUAUUAAA
Molecule: microRNA precursor, 191 nt
Filed under: Oryza brachyantha (malo sina)
Lineage: Eukaryota; Viridiplantae; Streptophyta; Magnoliopsida; Poales; Poaceae
Description: MIR812 microRNA precursor family
Rfam family: MIR812 microRNA precursor family
Source: Rfam by way of RNAcentral